RNAcentral lists this ribosomal RNA (253 nucleotides) under uncultured bacterium. RNAcentral's name for it is "partial 16S ribosomal RNA". It matches the Rfam family "Bacterial small subunit ribosomal RNA", at positions 524 to 776 of the family's 1533-position model. The record is from RNAcentral.
UACGUAGGGUGCGAGCGUUAAUCGGAAUUACUGGGCGUAAAGUGUGCGCAGGCGGCCGCGCAAGUCGAGUGUGAAAUCCCCGGGCUUAACCUGGGAACUGCAUUUGUGACUGCACGGCUAGAGUGUGUCAGAGGGGGGUAGAAUUCCACGUGUAGCAGUGAAAUGCGUAGAUAUGUGGAGGAAUACCGAUGGCGAAGGCAGCCCCCUGGGAUAACACUGACGCUCAUGCACGAAAGCGUGGGGAGCAAACAGG